GCAAUUCUUAUUGUGAAUACAAGUAACAUCAUAUAUAUGUUUUUUGUGUUGAUCAAAUAAUGUAUUCAGAUGUUAUCUUUCACAAGGUUGCCUAUGGAUUACAUCAAUGGGGUUUGCAUACAUGCACCCAUGUUUUCACAAGCUCAUUGAGUAUUAAAUAGUGUAUUCAGAUGUUAUCUUUCACAAGGUUGUCUGUGGAUUACAUCAAUGGGGUUUGCAUACGCAUAUGUUAUGACAUGUGCAUUGAGUAUUAAUCUUUUCUGCAAAUAUCUACGGCUACAGGUAAGAUCAUUGAGCUACUCCAACAAUUACCUUUCAAAUGGCAUGGUACCAUACCAAGAAAACAGCAUGGUACAGAAGCCCAAAUUCUUUUGCUUUGGGUUGAUGGUACACAUUGCCAGUUUCGAUAUUUAUUAUACAUGUCCAUAGUAUCUCAUUAAAUUCCCCACCAGAUAGUACUCUGUCAUUGCAUCUCCCACACACCCUAUAGUAUGCUUUUCUUCCCCAUCACCAAGUUUUACUGAACAUUCUUAAUAUUUCCAUAAAUGUCAUGUUUUUGUUAUCUCCUUAGGCCCUCUUUUUUCCCUACUUUUCUAAUUUAUGCAACACUGCAACCUAAC
RNAcentral lists this long non-coding RNA (620 nucleotides) under Phoenix dactylifera (date palm). Its description in RNAcentral is "long non-coding RNA (PDAC_LNC019069)". Lineage: Eukaryota; Viridiplantae; Streptophyta; Magnoliopsida; Arecales; Arecaceae. The record is from RNAcentral.